Long non-coding RNA from Piliocolobus tephrosceles (Ugandan red Colobus), 182 nucleotides. RefSeq lists it as uncharacterized. The transcript has 3 exons. Lineage: Eukaryota; Metazoa; Chordata; Mammalia; Primates; Cercopithecidae. The record is from RefSeq and is a predicted model, not a curated record.
CUUGGCUCACUGCAGCCUCAACCUCCCAGGCUCAAGCAAUCCUCCCACCUCAGCCUCCCAGGUAUUCAUGUUUAUUGACCAUACUUCUGGGGAAGAGAAGAUACCAGACUGUCCAGCACUAACUCCUAUGAGGAACUCACCAUCAUUAAGGGGCUUCAUGAGUCUGGCACCCAGACCUUGUG